UACGUAGGGUGCGAGCGUUAAUCGGAAUUACUGGGCGUAAAGCGUGCGCAGGCGGUUUUGUAAGUCUGACGUGAAAUCCCCGGGCUCAACCUGGGAACUGCAUUUGUGACUGCAUCGCUGGAGUGCGGCAGAGGGGGAUGGAAUUCCACGUGUAGCAGUGAAAUGCGUAGAGAUGUGGAGGAACACCGAUGGCGAAGGCAGCCCCCUGGGUCAAGAUUGACGCUCAUGCACGAAAGCGUGGGGAGCAAACAGG
This 253-nucleotide ribosomal RNA is filed under the name uncultured bacterium. RNAcentral's name for it is "partial 16S ribosomal RNA". It matches the Rfam family "Bacterial small subunit ribosomal RNA", at positions 524 to 776 of the family's 1533-position model. The record is from RNAcentral.